UUGUCCUACGGGGGGCAGCAGUAGGGAAUCUUCCACAAUGGGCGAAAGCCUGAUGGAGCAACGCCGCGUGGGUGAAGAAGGUCUUCGGAUCGUAAAACCCUGUUGUUAGAGAAGAAAGUGCGUGAGAGUAACUGUUCACGUUUCGACGGUAUCUAACCAGAAAGCCACGGCUAACUACGUGCCAGCAGCCGCGGUAAUACAUAGGGAGCAAGCGUUAUCCGGAUUUAUUGGGUGUAAAGGGUGCGUAGACGGGAAAGCAAGUUAGUUGUGAAAUCGCUCGGCUUAACUGAGGAACUGCAACUAAA
Molecule: ribosomal RNA, 305 nt
Filed under: uncultured bacterium
Lineage: Bacteria
Description: bacterial SSU rRNA
Rfam family: Bacterial small subunit ribosomal RNA
Source: RNAcentral